RNAcentral lists this transfer RNA (71 nucleotides) under Candidatus Pacearchaeota archaeon. RNAcentral describes it as "tRNA-Tyr". It matches the Rfam family "tRNA". Rfam says of the family: Transfer RNA (tRNA) molecules are approximately 80 nucleotides in length. Their secondary structure includes four short double-helical elements and three loops (D, anti-codon, and T loops). Lineage: Archaea; Nanobdellati. The record is from RNAcentral.
CCCUCCAUAGCUUAGUGGUAGAGCAAUCGGCUGUAGACCGAUGUGUCCCAGUUCGAUUCUGGGUGGGGGGA